Molecule: ribosomal RNA, 460 nt
Filed under: uncultured bacterium
Lineage: Bacteria
Description: partial 16S ribosomal RNA
Rfam family: Bacterial small subunit ribosomal RNA
Source: RNAcentral
CCUACGGGAGGCAGCAGUGAGGAAUAUUGGUCAAUGGACGAGAGUCUGAACCAGCCAAGUAGCGUGAAGGAUGAAGGCCCUAUGCGUUGUAAACUUAUUUGAUAUGGGAAUAAAAUGUUCCUAGUGUGGGAAUUUGUAUGUACCAUAUGAAUAAGGAUCGGCGAACUACGUGGCAGCAGCCGCGGUAAUACGGAGGAUCCGAGCGUUAUACGGAUGUAUUGGGUUCAAAGGGAACGUAGGUGGAUUGUUAAGUCAGUUGUGAACGUUUGCGGCGCAACCGUAAAAUUGCAGUUGAAACUGGCAGUCUUGAGUACAGUAGAGGUGGGCGGAAUUCGUGGUGUAGCGGUGAAAUGCUUAGAUAUCACGAAGAACUCCGAUUGCGAAGGCAGCUCACUGGACUGCAACUGACACUGAGGCUCGAAAGUGUGGGUAUCAAACAGGAUUAGAUACCCCAGUAGUC